UCAUGCCUAUAAUUGACCAUAAUUUUUCACAUUAUCAUAAUCAAAAAAGGCCUACAAAUUUUUCACUAAAUACAAUCAUAAAUUUAGAAAUACAUGCCACAUAAGUCUAGAAUUUAAAUGCCCAACACUUCAUACAAGUUCAACAUUCUCGGUCACAAAAUUUAAUAUCAGAAAAUAAGUAAAUAACAACCAAAAGCAGGCCAAGAACUUCUUACUACAGAAACUUAUUGAAUUACAAAUUACAAACUAAGCACAGUCAUUGAAGUCACGGACUUCUUCUCUUCUUAGAAAUGUCAGAGGAUUCAUAGUCCCAGCUCCAACCUGCUCAAUACGUCCAAAAAUAAAUAAGUGCCAAUCAAGGAGCUAUACAAAAACCUCACUAGCAUGCAUUUUACAUAUGGAAUUUUACCCAUUCAAGGAUACUUGAGAGCUAAUUGAGGUGCAGAAGUUUCGCAAAACAAAUUUUAAAAGAAAUUUUAAAAGAGCAACAGGCCUCAGAGAUCUUGGUGGAUAGAAAAUCAUCAGGUGGGUAGAUAAAUUACCCAUCAAGAGUAGCAAAUAUCUAUUUCUCACAUCACAAGCCCUUCUCUUUCAAUUUUUGAAAAAUUGCCGGAACAUUCCACUCAGAUGCAUCAUGUCAUCUGUUCAGUGCUAAUACGGAUUUCAAAACGAGAAAGUUAAAAAAAUGCUGCUUAACAUGCAUAAAAACCAUUAAUUAUGUAGAUUGGCUGGGUAGGAGAUGAACAACAGGUGAUGCUGGUGCUGUGGGGUCAGAAGUAGCUGGUGGUUUUUUAUCAUUCUUACGGAGAAUGAUGAAUGGGAAUCCGUUUGAUUUUUUCAUCACUCCCAUGAUCACCAGUUCACCACCACUACCCCAACUGAGCUCAAAUCUUUGCCACAGCAAGACAUAGUAGCAAAUCAAUUUAAGUAGGAAAAGAUAGUUUUUACAUGUUAUUUUCCAAAACUAUAUAUCAAAAGAUAAGAAAAUCAGUAGAUAAAAAAAUUAUAAAAAAAAUUGUAUCCUUGUCACCAAAAAAUCCUAAAAGCAUAGGAGGAAUGAUUCGGAGCUAAAGGUAGACAACACACGCAGGUGUGCAAAAAAAAAGAAAAAAGCAAUAAUUUGAGCUCAAAAAUGUUAUUUCAGCAUCUAUUCCAGCUAAAAUACCAGUUAAAUUAACUAGAGGGAAGCAACAAACUUCAGACAAGAGAAAGGAAGACGGAGGGGAAGGAACGCCGAACGGCCCGAACCAACCUUAAAUUGGAAAUCAAAUUGAGGGCUUUAAGAUGCGCCGUGGAGGAAGACAGAUGGUUAGCAGUCCUUAAGACGCACCGUGGAGGAAGUCAAGCCUCUGUCCGAAUACAGCUGAGCCAACGACGAAGGCGAGUUGCAGUCAAUUGCUUCGAGAGGAAGAAGGUUUCUCUCGAAUGAAGUCGAAUUGCAGUCGAAUGAGGCCUGAAGGGUAGCAGUGGCGGUGCCGCGGUGGUGGCUGUGGUCAGCGUGGUGCACUCGUGGGUGGUGGCGGCGAUGGCUAGGGCUUGAGAAGGUGUGAAGGAAAGAAGGAAAGACCAAAUAGAAAUGCGGUAGAGGAGAAGUAAUAAGAAAUGGAAU
This 1609-nucleotide long non-coding RNA is filed under the name Coffea arabica (coffee). Its description in RNAcentral is "long non-coding RNA (CARA_LNC006513)". Lineage: Eukaryota; Viridiplantae; Streptophyta; Magnoliopsida; Gentianales; Rubiaceae. The record is from RNAcentral.